GCAGCAGUAGGGAUCUUCCACAAUGGACGCAAGUCUGAUGGAGCAACGCCGCGUGUAUGAAGAAGGUCUUCGGAUCGUAAAAUACUGUUGUCAGAGAAGAACACGUGAUAAAGUAACUGUUAUCGCGCUGACGGUAUCUGACCAGCAAGUCACGGCUAACUACGUGCCAGCAGCCGCGGUAAUACGUAGGUGGCAAGCGUUGUCCGGAUUUAUUGGGCGUAAAGGGAACGCAGGCGGUCUUUUAAGUCUGAUGUGAAAGCCUUCGGCUUAACCGGAGAAGUGCAUUGGAAACUGGAAGACUUGAGUGCAGAAGAGGAGAGUGGAACUCCAUGUGUAGCGGUGAAAUGCGUAGAUAUAUGGAAGAACACCAGUGGCGAAAGCGGCUCUCUGGUCUGUAACUGACGCUGAGGUUCGAAAGCGUGGGGAGCGAACAGGAUUAGAUACCCUGGUAGUCCACGCUGUAAACGAUGAAUGCUAGGUGUUGGAGGGUUUCCGCCCUUCGGUGCCGCAGCUAACGCACUAAGCAUUCCGCCUGGGGAGUACGAUCGCAAGAUUGAAACUCAAAGGAAUUGACGGGGCCCGC
This 583-nucleotide ribosomal RNA is filed under the name Lactobacillus sp. RNAcentral's name for it is "bacterial SSU rRNA". It matches the Rfam family "Bacterial small subunit ribosomal RNA", at positions 348 to 924 of the family's 1533-position model. The record is from RNAcentral. Lineage: Bacteria; Bacillati; Bacillota; Bacilli; Lactobacillales; Lactobacillaceae.